This 320-nucleotide ribosomal RNA is filed under the name uncultured archaeon. RNAcentral describes it as "bacterial SSU rRNA". It matches the Rfam family "Archaeal small subunit ribosomal RNA", at positions 1034 to 1352 of the family's 1478-position model. The record is from RNAcentral.
UUAGGUAACGAGCGAGACCCCUGCGUCUAGUUGCUACCAUUACUCUCUGGAGCAGUGGAGCGAAUUAGACGGACCGCCACAGUUAAUGUGGAGGAAGGAAGGGGCCACGGCAGGUCAGUAUGCCCCGAAACCCUAGGGCUACACGCGGGCUGCAAUGAUAUUGGCAAUGUGUUCCGAAUCCGAAAGGAGGAGGCAAUCAUCAAACAAUAUCUCAGUUAUGACUGAGGGCUGUAACUCGCCCUCACGAAUAUGGAAUCCCUAGUAACCGCGCGUCACUACCGCGCGGUGAAUACGUCCCUGCUCCUUGCACGAAUUCGCCG